UACAGAGGUGCCGAGCGUUAGGCGGAAUCACUGGGCUUAAAGCGUGUGUAGGCGGAUGCCUAAGUACCUUGUGAAAUCCCAUAGCUCAACUAUGGAACUGCUUGGUAUACUGGGUGUCUUGAGCCACUUAGGGGUUACCGGAACAAAUGGUGGAGCGGUGAAAUGCGUAGAUAUCAUUUGGGACGGCAAAGGUGAAAACAGGUAACUGGGAGUGUGCUGACGCUGAGACACGAAAGCCAGGGGAGCGAACGGG
Molecule: ribosomal RNA, 253 nt
Filed under: uncultured bacterium
Lineage: Bacteria
Description: partial 16S ribosomal RNA
Rfam family: Bacterial small subunit ribosomal RNA
Source: RNAcentral